AUAAACUACACAUCGACUUGUUUAAGUCAGGAUGAAAAGAACUUCAGGCAAACUUGGGCUUUUUUUUUUUUUCCCCGGCACUGACUACUUGUGUUUAAUUGGUUAACUCCCUUCGGUUCGAUCCCUCUGUGAACUCAGAGUUUCUGCAUGCUUCAAAAAUAUUUUAAAAGAUGAGAUUUUAAUCCACUUUCUCAACAGUGGUCAGGAUGUUUCCACCCCCCAAGAACUGAUGUGAAGAAACUGACUGAUUGCCGUUGCAAACCAUUGAAGCCAGGAGUGCAGGGGAUACAGAUAUGUAGCAGGAGACUGGAAAACCGUGGAAGGACCCAAGUGCAUUUUAUAGGAAGAGGCAAAAACGGAUGUGGAGGAUUGGGAAGAAGGCACACUUGUUAGGGUUCUAACAGAAAGCAGGAAGAAACAGGGAAGAAGUAGGACAGGACAUUGGAAAACCUGCGAUGAGGAGAGUUCAGCAUGUUUUGGAAGGAGAAGGUGGGAUUUGUUAUGCAGCAGGAGCGCUGCCUUCUCAGUGUCAUUUCCCCAUCUGUCUCGCUCAGCAGUGUUACAGUCUCGGCUGAUCCAUGUGUGCAGUCAUCAGUCAGAUCAUACCACGUAGUGACACAGUGAGCCUGAAAACUAUUCUUGUACAAUGUCUGCCAUGCUCUGUAUUUUCCUCAAAGGAACUGUGGAUACAAUUUGAACUUGUAUAUAUUCUUUCCAGAGGCCAGGAAAAUGAAUAGUUCCUUUUUCCGUAUUUGAAAUUCCCUCAACAAUAGAUUUACUAUUAUUUAAUCCUUCUUACUUUAUAAGCUGUAUUUAUCUUUUGGAACUCAUAGAAUUUUAUUGCUUUGCACUAGUCCCAUGGAAAUUUAGGGAAAUGUCUCAACCUAUUGCAAGGGGAAACAGGCUUUAAAAAUCUUACUUUGUCUAAAAUUUGCCAUCACUUUCCCCACACCAUAAGUUGCGCUGUGCACAAUAUGCAAAAGAUGCUUCAUCUAAUAUCAAUGCUUAUAAAAAGAUAAACCACAAUCUAUUGGUGACAAUACCUUUCCUGUUUUAUUCAACAUUUAUUUGGCAUUGCAAGCAAAGUGUAUUAAUUCUGUCCUGGA
This is a long non-coding RNA of Chroicocephalus ridibundus (black-headed gull), 1106 nucleotides long. RefSeq lists it as uncharacterized. Lineage: Eukaryota; Metazoa; Chordata; Aves; Charadriiformes; Laridae. The record is from RefSeq and is a predicted model, not a curated record. The transcript is spliced from 4 exons.